ACUACUUGGAUAACCGUGGUAAUUCUAGAGCUAAUACAUGCUAAAAAUCCCGACUUCGGAAGGGAUGUAUUUAUUAGAUUAAAAACCAAUGCCCUUCGGGGCUCACUGGUGAUUCAUGAUAACUCCUCGAAUCGCAUGGCCUUGUGCCGGCGAUGGUUCAUUCAAAUUUCUUCCCUAUCAACUUUCGAUGUUUGGGUAUUGGCCAAACAUGGUUGCAACGGGUAACGGAGGGUUAGGGCUCGACCCCGGAGAAGGAGCCUGAGAAACGGCUACUACAUCCAAGGAAGGCAGCAGGCGCGCAAAUUACCCAAUCCCGACACGGGGAGGUAGUGACAAUAAAUACUGAUACAGGGCUCUUUUGGGUCUUGUAAUUGGAAUGAGUACAAUUUAAAUCCCUUAACGAGGAACAAUUGGAGGGCAAGUCUGGUGCCAGCAGCCGCGGUAAUUCCAGCUCCAAUAGCGUAUAUUAAAGUUGUUGUGGUUAAAAAGCUCGUAGUUGAACCUUGGGCCUGGCUGGCCGGUCCGCCUCACCGCGUGUACUGGUCCGGCCGGGCCUUUCCCUCUGUGGAACCCCAUGCCCUUCACUGGGUGUGGCGGGGAAACAGGACUUUUACUGUGAAAAAAUUAGAGUGCUCCAGGCAGGCCUAUGCUCGAAUACAUUAGCAUGGAAUAAUAGAAUAGGACGUGUGGUUCUAUUUUGUUGGUUUCUAGGACCGCCGUAAUGAUUAAUAGGGACAGUCGGGGGCAUCAGUAUUCAAUUGUCAGAGGUGAAAUUCUUGGAUUUAUUGAAGACUAACUACUGCGAAAGCAUUUGCAAAGGAUGUUUUCAUUAAUCAGGAACGAAAGUUAGGGGAUCGAAGACGAUCAGAUACCGUCGUAGUCUUAACCAUAAACUAUGCCGACUAGGGAUCGGCCUUUAUUUUUUGACCCGUUCGGCACCUUACGAGAAA
RNAcentral lists this ribosomal RNA (950 nucleotides) under Fusarium sp. RNAcentral's name for it is "SSU rRNA". It matches the Rfam family "Eukaryotic small subunit ribosomal RNA", at positions 134 to 1097 of the family's 1831-position model. The record is from RNAcentral. Lineage: Eukaryota; Fungi; Ascomycota; Sordariomycetes; Hypocreales; Nectriaceae.